This 464-nucleotide ribosomal RNA is filed under the name Vreelandella stevensii. RNAcentral's name for it is "partial 16S ribosomal RNA". It matches the Rfam family "Bacterial small subunit ribosomal RNA", at positions 338 to 795 of the family's 1533-position model. The record is from RNAcentral. Lineage: Bacteria; Pseudomonadati; Pseudomonadota; Gammaproteobacteria; Oceanospirillales; Halomonadaceae.
CCUACGGGCGGCAGCAGUGGGGAAUAUUGGACAAUGGCGAAAGCCUGAUCCAGCCAUGCCGCGUGUGUGAAGAAGGCCUUCGGGUUGUAAAGCACUUUCAGUGGGGAAGAAAGCCUUGGGGCUAAUACCCUCGAGGAAGGACAUCACCCACAGAAGAAGCACCGGCUAACUCCGUGCCAGCAGCCGCGGUAAUACGGAGGGUGCGAGCGUUAAUCGGAAUUACUGGGCGUAAAGCGCGCGUAGGCGGUCUGAUAAGCCGGUUGUGAAAGCCCCGGGCUCAACCUGGGAACGGCAUCCGGAACUGUCAGGCUAGAGUGCAGGAGAGGAAGGUAGAAUUCCCGGUGUAGCGGUGAAAUGCGUAGAGAUCGGGAGGAAUACCAGUGGCGAAGGCGGCCUUCUGGACUGACACUGACGCUGAGGUGCGAAAGCGUGGGUAGCAAACAGGAUUAGAUACCCUUGUAGUC